GCCUCGGUGGCGAAAUUGGUAGACGCACGGGACUUAAAAUCCCGCGGUGGCAACACCGUGCCGGUUCGAUUCCGGCCUGAGGCACCA
RNAcentral lists this transfer RNA (87 nucleotides) under Methylococcaceae bacterium. RNAcentral's name for it is "tRNA-Leu". It matches the Rfam family "tRNA". From Rfam's summary of the family: Transfer RNA (tRNA) molecules are approximately 80 nucleotides in length. Their secondary structure includes four short double-helical elements and three loops (D, anti-codon, and T loops). Further hydrogen bonds mediate the characteristic L-shaped molecular structure. tRNAs have two regions of fundamental functional importance: the anti-codon, which is responsible for specific mRNA codon recognition, and the 3' end, to which the tRNAs corresponding amino acid is attached (by aminoacyl-tRNA synthetases). tRNAs cope with the degeneracy of the genetic code in two manners: having more than one tRNA (with a specific anti-codon) for a particular amino acid; and 'wobble' base-pairing, i.e. permitting non-standard base-pairing at the 3rd anti-codon position. RNAcentral also lists the same sequence under 2 other names. The record is from RNAcentral. Lineage: Bacteria; Pseudomonadati; Pseudomonadota; Gammaproteobacteria; Methylococcales; Methylococcaceae.